GCACUGGACUGGCCCCGCCCCGCGGAAGUGCAGGCUCCGCCUGCUGAGGAAGACGGAGAGGGAAGGUGAAGUCCGGAGCACCGACCCUAGCCCCGCCCCUCCACGCACCGUAAAGCGCGGCCCCAAAGUUGCGCGUGCGCGCGUUCGAGGUCUUUUUAGCGUCUCGCUCCGACCGGAAGUGAAUUGGCCCCGAGGCUCAUGACCUAGGAAACACAAGUUCGCCGUCUCCACGCCGGAGGAGACGUGUUGGGGCCGGGUUCGGCCCUCGUGAACUCUGACUCAAGUAUCUGAGUUUCUCUUUCCGGGACAAGAUGGCGCCGUCCACGCCACUCCUGACAGUCCGAGGAUCAGAAGGGCUGUACAUGGUAAAUGGACCACCACAUUUUACAGAAAGCACAGUGUUCCCAAGAGAAUCUGGGAAAAACUGCAAAGCCUAUACCUUUAGUAAAGAUGGGACCUUGUUUGCCUGGGGCAAUGGAGAAAAAAUAAAUGUUAUCAGUGUCACUAAAAAGGGACUGCUGCACUCCUUCAACCUUCCAAAGGCAGUUUGCCUUGAGUUCUCGCCAAAAAACACUGUCCUGGCAACAUGGCAGCCUUACACUACUUCUAAAGAUGAUACAGCUGGGCUACCCAAUCUGCAACUUUAUGAUGUGAAAACUGGAACAUGUUUGAAGUCCUUCAUUCAGAAAAAAAUGCAAAAUUGGUGUCCUUCCUGGUCAGAAGAUGAAACGCUUUGUGCCCGAAAUGUGAACAAUGAAGUUCACUUUUUUGAAAACAACAACUUUAACACAAUUGCAAAUAAAUUGCAUUUGAAAAAAAUUAAUGAUUUUGUGUUAUCACCUGGACCCCAACCAUACAAGGUGGCUGUCUAUGUUCCAGGAAGUAAGGGUGCACCUUCAUUUGUUAGAUUAUAUCAGUACCCCAACUUUGAUGAGCCUCAUGCAGCUUUAGCCAAUAAAAGUUUCUUUAAGGCUGAUAAGGUCACAAUGCUAUGGAAUAAAAAAGCUACUGCUGUGUUGGUAAUAGCUAGUACAGAUGUUGACAAGACAGGAGCUUCCUACUAUGGGGAACAGACGCUGCACUACAUUGCAACAAAUGGAGAAAGUGCCGUGGUACAAUUACCGAAAAACGGCCCCAUCUACGAUGUGGUUUGGAAUUCUAGUUCUACUGAGUUUUGUGCCGUGUAUGGGUUCAUGCCUGCCAAAGCGACAGUUUUCAACCUGAAGUGUGAUCCCGUAUUUGACUUUGGAACUGGCCCUCGUAAUGCAGCCUACUACAGCCCUCAUGGACAUAUAUUAGUACUAGCUGGAUUUGGGAAUCUGAGGGGACAAAUGGAAGUGUGGGAUGUUAAAAAGUACAAACUUAUCUCUAAACCAGUGGCCUCUGAUUCUACAUAUUUUGCUUGGUGCCCAGAUGGUGAGCAUAUUUUAACAGCCACAUGUGCCCCACGGUUACGUGUUAAUAAUGGGUACAAGAUUUGGCAUUAUACAGGCUCUGUCUUGCACAAGUAUGAUGUACCAUCAAAUGCAGAAUUAUGGCAGGUUUCUUGGCAGCCAUUCUUAGAUGGAAUAUUUCCAGAAAAAGCAAUAACUUACCAAGUAGUUCCAAGUGAUGUGCCUAGUGAAGAACCUAAAGUUGCAACAGCUUAUAGACCCCCAGCUUUAAGAAAUAAACCAGUCACCAAUUCCAAACUGCACGAAGAAGAACCACCUCAGAAUAUGAAACCACAACCAGGAAAUGAGAAGCCAUUAUCAAAAACAGCCCUUAAAAAUCAAAGGAAGCAUGAGGCUAAGAAAGCUGCAAAGCAGGAAGCAAGAAUUGACAAGAGUCCAGAUAUGCCACCUGCUCCUGCCCCACAAAGCACACCACGAAAUACUAUUUCUCAGUCAACUUCUGGGGACCCUGAGACAGACAAAAAAAUCAAGAACCUAAAGAAGGUGGGAGGCUUCAGUGAAAAGCACAUGUGUUUAUUGAAAGAACACAUGAGAAUUAUAUAAAGGAAAUAGUGUUUAGAUGCCUAAAGACAGGCAUCUGAGAGAAACUGAGAGCAAUUGAACAGCUGAAAGAACAAGCAGCAACUGGAAAACAGCUAGAAAAAAAUCAGUUGGAGAAAAUUCAGAAAGAGAAAGCCCUUCUCCAAGAGCUGGAGGAUUUGGAACUGGGUAUUUAAAGAUUCACAGAAAGCAAGCUGGUUACCAGAAAUCAUUGCAAACGUAUUUUCUGUUAAACCCAUCAGUGUACAUAGAAAUAUCCAUGUGCCCACAUUUAACAUUCACUUAUAAUUUUGACCAUUUAUCUAAGAUUCUACAUAUCUAUACAAUUACUUAAUAUGCGUGUUAAAUUGAGUUUUACAUCCUGCAUUCUGUAUCAUGUCAACAUAUGAUAUCAAAAAGAGACAUAUGAUUUUCUGUUUAGCUAAGCUUGACAGAUUGAAAGACUAAUGUCAUUGUUUUUUAGUAGGAGACAGUAUUUACCAUAUAAAUGAAUAAAAAUAUUUUAAUUUUA
RNA transcript from Bubalus bubalis (water buffalo), 2505 nucleotides. It is a transcript of the gene named eukaryotic translation initiation factor 2A, with no coding region annotated. The record is from RefSeq and is a predicted model, not a curated record. The transcript has 14 exons. NCBI's taxonomy places the organism in Eukaryota, Metazoa, Chordata, Mammalia, Artiodactyla, Bovidae.